Non-coding RNA from Xyrichtys novacula (pearly razorfish), 147 nucleotides. Lineage: Eukaryota; Metazoa; Chordata; Actinopteri; Labriformes; Labridae. The record is from the annotation of a GenBank genome assembly.
AUGGUGGCCCUGAGGUGCAAAACACAAAAGCAAAUAUGAAAGCACAACACGAAAAGAGAAGACACGAUGCCUUUAACCAUUGUGUUUUCUCUUUCUGCGUUGUGUUUUCUGAUUCGUCAUUGUGUUUUGUACCUCAGGGCCUCCGUA